UCUGUAGCAAGGUUAACCGUAUAGGGGAGCCGUAGGGAAACCGAGUCUUAACCGGGCGUUAAGUUGCAGGGUAUAGACCCGAAACCCGGUGAUCUAGCCAUGGGCAGGUUGAAGGUUGGGUAACACUAACUGGAGGACCGAACCGACUAAUGUUGAAAAAUUAGCGGAUGACCUGUGGCUGGGGGUGAAAGGCCAAUCAAACCGGGAGAUAGCUGGUUCUCCCCGAAAGCUAUUUAGGUAGCGCCUCGUGAAUUCAUCUCCGGGGGUAGAGCACUGUUUCGGCUAGGGGGCCAUCCCGGCUUACCAACCCGAUGCAAACUGCGAAUACCGGAGAAUGUUAUCACGGGAGACACACGGCGGGUGCUAACGUCCGUCGUGAAGAGGGAAACAACCCAGACCGCCAGCUAAGGUCCCAAAGUCAUGGUUAAGUGGGAAACGAUGUGGGAAGGCCCAGACAGCCAGGAUGUUGGCUUAGAAGCAGCCAUCAUUUAAAGAAAGCGUAAUAGCUCACUGGUCGAGUCGGCCUGCGCGGAAGAUGUAACGGGGCUAAACCAUGCACCGAAGCUG
This 567-nucleotide ribosomal RNA is filed under the name Salmonella enterica subsp. enterica serovar Bovismorbificans. RNAcentral describes it as "partial 23S ribosomal RNA". It matches the Rfam family "Bacterial large subunit ribosomal RNA", at positions 634 to 1202 of the family's 2925-position model. Lineage: Bacteria; Pseudomonadati; Pseudomonadota; Gammaproteobacteria; Enterobacterales; Enterobacteriaceae. The record is from RNAcentral.